GUCGAGGGGUAACAUUAGUGCUUGCACUAGAUGACGACCGGCGCACGGGUGCGUAACGCGUAUAGAAUCUACCUUUUACAGGGGGAUAGCCUUUAGAAAUGAAGAUUAAUAUCCCAUGGCAUUGCGAAGUGGCAUCACUUUGUAAUUAAAGAUUUAUCGGUAAAAGAUGACUAUGCGUCCUAUUAGUCAGUUGGUAAGGUAACGGCUUACCAAGACAUCGAUAGGUAGGGGUCCCGAGAGGGAGAUCCCCCACACUGGUACUGAGACACGGACCAGACUCCUACGGGAGGCAGCAGUGAGGAAUAUUGGGCAAUGGAGGCAACUCUGACCCAGCCAUGCCGCGUGCAGGAAGACUGCCCUAUGGGUUGUAAACUGCUUUUAUACAGGAAGAAACACUGCUACGUGUAGCAGCUUGACGGUACUGUAAGAAUAAGGACCGGCUAACUCCGUGCCAGCAGCCGCAGUAAUACGGAGGGUCCGAGCGUUAUCCGGAAUCAUUGGGUUUAAAGGGUCCGCAGGCGGUCAAUUAAGUCAGAGGUGAAAUCCCAUAGCUUAACUAUGGAACUGCCUUUGAUACUGGUUGACUUGAGUCAUACGGAAGUACAUAGAAUGUGUAGU
Molecule: ribosomal RNA, 618 nt
Filed under: uncultured marine bacterium
Lineage: Bacteria
Description: bacterial SSU rRNA
Rfam family: Bacterial small subunit ribosomal RNA
Source: RNAcentral